UCGGGAAUUUUGGGCAAUGGGCGAAAGCCUGACGGAGCAACGCCGCGUGGGGGAAGAAGGCCUUCGGGUUGUAAACCCCUGUUGCGAGGGAAGAAGAUCUGACGGUACCUCGCGAGGAAGCCACGGCUAACUACGUGCCAGCAGCCGCGGUAAUACGUAGGGACCAAGCGUUGUUCGGAUUUACUGGGCGUAAAGGGCGCGUAGGCGGCAAUUCAAGUCAUCUGUGAAAUCUCCGGGCUUAACUCGGAACGGUCAGAUGAUACUGCUUUGCUAGAGUGCAGAAGGGGCAAUCGGAAUUCUUGGUGUAGCGGUGAAAUGCGUAGAUAUCAAGAGGAACACCUGAGGUGAAGACGGGUUGCUGGGCUGACACUGACGCUGAGGCGCGAAAGCCCGGGGAGCAAACGGGAUUAGAUACCCACGUAGUCCCUGAGCGGGCUGGCAAGGCGCAU
This 449-nucleotide ribosomal RNA is filed under the name uncultured bacterium. RNAcentral describes it as "bacterial SSU rRNA". It matches the Rfam family "Bacterial small subunit ribosomal RNA", at positions 355 to 825 of the family's 1533-position model. The record is from RNAcentral.